AUACGAACCGGACAAACGUUAUUCGGAAUUAUUGGGCUUAAAGGGUGUGUAGGCGGCAAUGUAGGUGGGGUGUGAAAUCCCUCGGCUCAACCGAGGAACUGCGCCCCAAACCACAUAGCUAGAGGGAGACAGAGGUAAGCGGAACUGAUGGUGGAGCGGUGAAAUGCGUUGAUAUCAUCGGAACACCAGUGGCGAAAGCGGCUUACUGGGUCUCUUCUGACGCUGAGACACGAAAGCUAGGGUAGCGAACGGGAUUAGAUACCCCAGUAGUCC
RNAcentral lists this ribosomal RNA (273 nucleotides) under uncultured bacterium. RNAcentral describes it as "partial 16S ribosomal RNA". It matches the Rfam family "Bacterial small subunit ribosomal RNA", at positions 523 to 796 of the family's 1533-position model. The record is from RNAcentral.